Molecule: long non-coding RNA, 1184 nt
Filed under: Homo sapiens (human)
Lineage: Eukaryota; Metazoa; Chordata; Mammalia; Primates; Hominidae
Description: HSALNT0284357
Source: RNAcentral
GUUAAAUUCAGUCACUUAAUUAAAGCAUUGUCUGGCGUGUUUUCUCACUGUAAAAAUUAUAUGUCAUUUUUAAGACUUUAUUUUUGGCCAGUAGGCAAAGAAACUGCAACCACAGGCUUCCAACACUAAGAUGCUCAACCGAAGAAGCCACGCUCUUAAGAGAGCAGGAAAAAACUGGUUUCGUUUUGAGACACAGUCUCACUGUCUUGCUCUGUCGUCCAGGCUGGACUGCAGUGGCGUGAUCUGGGCUCACGGCAACCUCCGCCUCCUGGGUUCAAGCAAUUCUCCUGCCUCAGCUUCCUGAGUAGCUGGGACUACAGGCCCAUGCCCCCAUGCCCUGGUAAUUUUUUGUAUUUUAGUAGGACAGGGUUUCACCAUGUUGCCCGGGCUGGUAUCGAACCCCUGAGCUCAGGCAAUCCGCCCACCUUGGCCUCCCAAAGUGUUGGGAUUACUGGCAUGAGCCACCGCACCCGGCCUACACUCUUUAUUUUAAAAAGUACAAUUAAGUUAUUAUUGACUAUGGGCACCAUGUUGUGCUAUCAAAUAGUAGGUCAUGUUUGUUCUUUCAAACUAUUUUUUGUAACAAUUAACCAUAUCCACCUACCCUUCCCAGACUCUGGUAACCAUCCUUCUACUCUCUAUGUCCAUGAGUUCAAUUGUUUUAAUUUUUAGGUCCUAUAAAUAAGUGAGAACAUGUGAUGCUUGUCUUUCUUUGUCUGGCUUAUUUCACUUAAAAUAGUGAUCUCCAGUUCCAUUCGUGUUGUUGCAAAUGACUGGAUCUCAUUCUUUUUUAUGGUCAAAUAGUACUCCAUUGUGUAUAUGUACCACAUUUUCUUGUGGAGAAAAAGGGAACCUUUAUACAUUACGUAUAGGGAACAUAAAUGUAAUGUUAUGUAAAUUAGUACUUUGCAUUUCCACUAAGAGUGUACAACUGACUGCAGAACAGUUUGAAGGUUCCUCAAAAAACUAAAAAUUGAGCUACCAUAUGAUCCUGCAAUUUCACUGCUGGGUAUAUACCCAAAAGAAAGGAAGUCAGUAUAUUGAAGAGAUAUCUGCACUCCUAUGUCUGUUGCAUCACUGUUUACAACAGUUAAGAUUUGGAAACAAUCCAGAUGUCCUUCACCAGAAUUUAUUUGGUAACAAUAUCAAUAGUGCUUUUGAAAGGAAGUUUUUCAAGAUUAAGG